Molecule: long non-coding RNA, 2169 nt
Organism: Canis lupus familiaris (dog)
Lineage: Eukaryota; Metazoa; Chordata; Mammalia; Carnivora; Canidae
Exons: 3
Source: RefSeq, a predicted model, not a curated record
AGUAGGCAAGGGACUGACAUGGACCCAUUGGAAGGAAUCCUAGAUUUUGAGGGAGAGACAUGGGAAACAGAUCCUCUUUUCUUGUAGACUGGGUGUUUGGGGGAGGUGGGGCUGGAGCUGCUUAUCGCCUCCUGGAGUUUCAAACGAAAGCCAAGAGAGCAGAAGGCAAUGCCAGAUAAGGAUUAAAAAAAAGAAACUCUGUGCUGGCAACGCCACUCAGAAGAGAGCUGACCCUUCACGAUUGCCAGGUGGGGAUGCUGAACAGAGAGGGGCAAACUGCCAGUUGCUUUAUGGCCAUCCUUGGGGAGAGAGCAUGUCAAGCAGUCUCCCUGCCGAGCGCAGAUCCCAGCACAGGGCUCGACCUCACAACCCCGGGAUCACGACCUGAGCGGAAAUCAAGGGUCGGGUGCUUACCUGAUGGAGCCACCCAGGCCCUGCCUUUUAUUCUGCCAAAAAAUAUAUUUCUUAAAAGCGAUUGUAGCAUGGGUACAAGGCAGAUCAUUUUCUUAAUGCCUCAGCUUGGCAAAAGGAAAAUGUCUUAGAAAUCCCGAUUUCAUUCACCUUGAUUUUUUUUUAAGAUUUUAUUUAUUUAUUACUGAGAGACCCACAGAGACACAGAGAGAGGCAGAGACCCAGGCCGAGGGAGAAGCAGGCUCCCUGCGGGGAGCCCGACGUGGGACUCGAUCCUGGGACCCCGGGGUCACGGCCUGGGCCGAAGGCAGGUGCUAACCCGCUGGGCCCCCUGGGUUGCCCCCACCUUGAUUUUUAAACAGAUCGUAGGAGGCCGUGAAAUUCCAGGGCCCCGGCACAGUCCCCCGCCCCUUUGCCCGGGCUCUGGGCCAUCCAUAAGGAACCCGCGCGAGGAGCAGGAGGGAAGGCUACUGCGCUCACGGCGCUCUCCUGGGCGCAGCCUGUGUCACCUGCGGGCUUUUCCCUCCCUCGGGGUCAGGACAGGGGAGGGCGUCGCUAGCGGCUCUGAGGUCCCGGCCAGGGCCUGGGUCGCCGGGGGCCAAGGACGGUGGGGACACCCUUGUCCUUCAGCAGGACGGACGGGGCCAGCCUGGGGGCUCAGCUGCCUGAAAGCAGACUCAGGGCUUGGAGCCCGGGGAAGGCGCUGGAGGCUAAGAAGCGCGUCAGGAGAUCGAGCCUCAUACUUCCUGAGAGCUUUGCAUGCGCUGGGCGCAGUUUUAAGUGUCCUGCACGUGUGACCCGACGGCCCUUCCAGUUCCAGAGGCGCUCAAGGUCUGUCAGCAUCGUCUUCACUCCCGGCGGAGGACGGGCCGCGGCGUCGGGGCUCGGAGCAUCUGGGGGGGCUCCCCGCCCUCCUCGGCCUUGCCUGUCCCGCAGCAGGUGCCUGGGGGGGGCUCCCCGCCCUCCUCGGCCUUGCCUGUCCCGCAGCAGGUGCCUGGGGGGGCGCGGCGCCCGGUGACCCCAGGACACGCACUGCGAGUGGCCCAUCACCUGUGGCCGGAGGGACAUCAAGGCCGACGAGCAGGGUGCUCAGGCAGCAGGCGCUCAGUUUUCUCCGACCACAGAGAUAUUAGGAAAAGAUAUUUAUAGCUGACCUUUCAAGAUUAAUAACACUUGUGGAAGAGAAACCGUGGUAGUCAACAUGAUUAAAAAAAAUCCUGAGCACUGAAGGAAAGAAUUAUUUUACUGUUUGUAGUACAGUUUGUUACAUUUAUUAAAAAUUUAAUAAAAUGCAUGUGCCCAUCUAUCACACUUAAAGGACUGCUAAUAAUGCAAAUCAUUCCACUUUGCUUCUUUAAAAUUGAAUGACUCCCAGUUAUUUUGAUGUUUUCUUAAAAAUAUGUGCAUUUAUCCCAUAAUUUGAGGAAGUAAAAUUCUGUAACAAUCAGUUAAUUGGAAACUCAAAAACGAAUCUUUUAGGCACAUUAAAAUGAACUGCUAAGGCAUUCAUGAUUUUAAAUGUUAGGAAAUAAAAAUAGAAAAAACAUAAGAAAUUUACAUGUUCCUUUUUCUUAACUUUUGAUCUUCCCCGUCCUUCCUUUUGACUCUGUGUUCGAUUGACAGUCUCAUGUUUACAUAUCACAUGUCUCGUGAAGAUCUUCCUGGCUUAUCUUUUUGUACGAAAAAGGCAAGGAUUGGGAGGAUCCAUUUUGUCAUCAAAUAAAUGCAUUCUCGUGGAGGCGGCUUCAGUUCAAAAUC